Molecule: non-coding RNA, 611 nt
Organism: Macaca mulatta (Rhesus monkey)
Lineage: Eukaryota; Metazoa; Chordata; Mammalia; Primates; Cercopithecidae
Source: RefSeq, a predicted model, not a curated record
UCGGCUUCCCAAAGUGCUGGGAUUACAGGCAUGAGCCACUGCACCCAGUCAGAAAUAUUGAAACAAUAGACACUAAGACAUGUCUUGGUUAAAUGAUUGCAUUUUAGAGCUUAAAAAUGGGGAUGGGGGAAAAUUUCUAAGCAGAAAGUUCACAUCCUUUAUAAGGUAGAAAAAUCAAUCUGGCUUCAGGUAUUGCAUGCUCCCAUUUCUUUUUAGCCAUUCAACCAUCCAUCCACCUUUCUAUCAAUAGAUACACAUAGAGAGACACUGUAUCUGGAAUCAAGUUCAUGUAGUAUUCACUUUUAUUUUUCAUUUUUAUUUUUAGAGAUGGGGUCUCGAUAUGUUGCUCAGGCUGGAGUGUAGCAUGCUAUGGUCCCGUCGUGUGACCAUAGCACACUGCAGCCAAGAACUACUGGACUCAAGAGAUCCUCCCACCUCAGCCUCCCAAGCAGCUGGGACCACAGAGGCAUACAACCAUACCUGGCUGUUCAUGGAGUAUUAACAGUGGGCUGAGAGUUAGCUUUGGAUCGCCUGAGCCCUGCUGGUAUCACGUGUCUUCCGUUUCCAAGAAUCCAGAUUGGAAGAGUAACCUUUGAUGAUACUGAUGUGGA